This 245-nucleotide ribosomal RNA is filed under the name uncultured bacterium. RNAcentral describes it as "partial 16S ribosomal RNA". It matches the Rfam family "Bacterial small subunit ribosomal RNA", at positions 524 to 768 of the family's 1533-position model. The record is from RNAcentral.
UACAGAGGUCCCAAGCGUUGUUCGGAUUCACUGGGCGUAAAGGGUGCGUAGGUGGCGGGGCAAGUUUGAUGUGAAAUCUCCGAGCUCAACUCGGAAACGGCAUUAAAUACUGCUCUGCUUGAAGGUCGGAGGGGAGACUGGAAUUCUCGGUGUAGCGGUGAAAUGCGUAGAUAUCGAGAGGAACACCGGUGGCGAAAGCGAGUCUCUGGACGAUUCUUGACACUGAGGCACGAAAGCUAGGGGAG